GAGUUAAUGGGUGGGGUUUAGGAUUUAGGGUUUAGGGUUUAGGAUUUAGGGUUUAGGGUUUAGGGUUUAGAGUUUAGAGUUUAGGUGCGGGGUUUAGGGUUUAGGGUUUAGAGUUAAGGGGUGGGGUUAGGAUUUAGGGUUUAGGAUUUAGGGUUUAGGAUUUAGAGUUUAGGGGUGAGGUUUAGGGUUUAGGGUUUAGGAUUUAGAGUUAAGGGGUGGGGUUUAGGAUUUAGGGUUUAGGAUUUAGGGUUUAGAGUUUAGAGUUGGGGAGUGGGGUUUUGGGAUAAGAUUUCAAAUUUUGAAAAAUAAAAAAAAAUUUAAAAUUUUCAAAAGCUAAAAUGCUAUUUUGGUCAUUUUAGUUUUUGAGGGCUAUUUUUGUGACAUAAACUUAGAAAUGUGAUAUUUUGGAGAUUUGCCCAAAAUUUUAU
Molecule: long non-coding RNA, 428 nt
Filed under: Brassica napus (rape)
Lineage: Eukaryota; Viridiplantae; Streptophyta; Magnoliopsida; Brassicales; Brassicaceae
Description: long non-coding RNA (BNAP_LNC023389)
Source: RNAcentral